UGGGGAAUAUUGCACAAUGGGCGCAAGCCUGAUGCAGCCAUGCCGCGUGUAUGAAGAAGGCCUUCGGGUUGUAAAGUACUUUCAGCGGGGAGGAAGGGAGUAAAGUUAAUACCUUUGCUCAUUGACGUUACCCGCAGAAGAAGCACCGGCUAACUCCGUGCCAGCAGCCGCGGUAAUACGGAGGGUGCAAGCGUUAGUCGGAAUUACUGGGCGUAAAGCGCACGCAGGCGGUUUGUUAAGUCAGAUGUGAAAUCCCCGGGCUCAACCUGGGAACUGCAUCUGAUACUGGCAAGCUUGAGUCUCGUAGAGGGGGGUAGAAUUCCAGGUGUAGCGGUGAAAUGCGUAGAGAUCUGGAGGAAUACCGGUGGCGAAGGCGGCCCCCUGGACGAAGACUGACGCUCAGGUGCGAAAGCGUGGGGAGCAAACAGG
Molecule: ribosomal RNA, 429 nt
Filed under: Chloroflexota bacterium
Lineage: Bacteria; Bacillati; Chloroflexota
Description: Chloroflexi bacterium partial 16S ribosomal RNA
Rfam family: Bacterial small subunit ribosomal RNA
Source: RNAcentral